GAUGAAGAACGUAGCGAAAUGCGAUAACUAAUGUGAAUUGCAGAAUUCAGUGAAUCAUCGAGUCUUUGAACGCACAUUGCGCCCCCUGGUAUUCCGGGGGGCAUGCCUGUCCGAGCGUCAUUGCUGCCCUCAAGCACGGCUUGUGUGUUGGGCUCCGUCCCCCCGGGGACGGGCCCGAAAGGCAGCGGCGGCACCGAGUCCGGUCCUCGAGCGUAUGGGGCUUUGUCACCCGCUCUGUAGGCCCGGCCGGCGCCAGCCGACAACCCAUCAACCUUUUCAGGUUGACCUCGGAUCAGGUAGGGAUACCCGCUGAACUUAAGCAUAUCAAUAAGCGGAGGA
RNAcentral lists this unclassified non-coding RNA (339 nucleotides) under soil metagenome. RNAcentral's name for it is "partial contains 5.8S ribosomal RNA, internal transcribed spacer 2, and large subunit ribosomal RNA". The stretch from base 1 to 120 matches the Rfam family "5.8S ribosomal RNA", at positions 35 to 154 of the family's 154-position model. The record is from RNAcentral.